GUUAAAAUAAUUUAAUUUAAAAUGUUGAUUUUGUAAAUCAAAUUUGGAUUUCCUUUUAACA
RNAcentral lists this transfer RNA (61 nucleotides) under Rhipicephalus microplus (southern cattle tick). RNAcentral describes it as "tRNA-Thr". Lineage: Eukaryota; Metazoa; Arthropoda; Arachnida; Ixodida; Ixodidae. The record is from RNAcentral.